GCUCGCUUAGCUCAGGGGUAGAGCGAGGUCUUUACACGGCCCAGGUCGGGGGUUCAAAUCCCUCAGCGAGCA
This 72-nucleotide transfer RNA is filed under the name bacterium. RNAcentral's name for it is "tRNA-Val". It matches the Rfam family "tRNA". From Rfam's summary of the family: Transfer RNA (tRNA) molecules are approximately 80 nucleotides in length. Their secondary structure includes four short double-helical elements and three loops (D, anti-codon, and T loops). RNAcentral also lists the same sequence under 3 other names. The record is from RNAcentral.